Non-coding RNA from Cicer arietinum (chickpea), 82 nucleotides. The record is from Rfam. Lineage: Eukaryota; Viridiplantae; Streptophyta; Magnoliopsida; Fabales; Fabaceae.
GAAUGGAGUGAUGAUUAUUUGUUUCCCUAUUGGUUUGACUGCCGCAAUGAUGGCAUAUUGUAUUAGCUCUAUCUGACCAUUC